Molecule: ribosomal RNA, 657 nt
Filed under: uncultured Bacteroidales bacterium
Lineage: Bacteria; Pseudomonadati; Bacteroidota; Bacteroidia; Bacteroidales
Description: bacterial SSU rRNA
Rfam family: Bacterial small subunit ribosomal RNA
Source: RNAcentral
CAUGAUCUUAGCUUGCUAAGGUUGAUGGCGACCGGCGCACGGGUGCGUAACGCGUAUGCAACUUGCCUUACAGAGGGGGAUAACCCGUUGAAAGACGGACUAAAACCGCAUACACUUGUAUUAUUGCAUGAUAUUACAAGGAAAUAUUUAUAGCUGUAAGAUAGGCAUGCGUCCCAUUAGCUGGUUGGUGAGGUAACGGCUCACCAAGGCGACGAUGGGUAGGGGAACUGAGAGGUUUAUCCCCCACACUGGUACUGAGACACGGACCAGACUCCUACGGGAGGCAGCAGUGAGGAAUAUUGGUCAAUGGGCGAGAGCCUGAACCAGCCAAGUCGCGUGAAGGAAGACAGUCCUAAGGAUUGUAAACUUCUUUUAUACGGGAAUAACGGGCGAUACGAGUAUUGCAUUGAAUGUACCGUAAGAAUAAGCAUCGGCUAACUCCGUGCCAGCAGCCGCGGUAAUACGGAGGAUGCGAGCGUUAUCCGGAUUUAUUGGGUUUAAAGGGUGCGUAGGUUGUUCGGUAAGUCAGCGGUGAAACCUGAGCGCUCAACGUUCAGCCUGCCGUUGAAACUGCCGGGCUUGAGUUCAGUGGCGGCAGGCGGAAUUCGUGGUGUAGCGGUGAAAUGCAUAGAUAUCACGAGGACUCCGAUUGCGAAG